AUUGAACGCUGGCGGCAGGCUUAACACAUGCAAGUCGAGCGAGCGGCGGACGGGUGAGUAAUGUCUGGGAAACUGCCUGAUGGAGGGGGAUAACUACUGGAAACGGUAGCUAAUACCGCAUACGAUCAGAUGUGCCCAGAUGGGAUGAGCUAGUAGGUGGGGUAAUGGCUCAACUAGGCGACGAUCCCUAGCUGGUCUGAGAGGAUGACCAGCCACACUGGAACGGAGACACGGACCAGACGCCGACGGGAGGCAGCAGUGGGGAAUAUUGCACAAUGGCCGCAAGCCUGGUGCAGCCAUGCCGCGUGUAUGAAGAAGGCCUUCGGGUUGUAAAGAAAUUUCAGCGAGGAGGCGUUACUCGCAGAAGAAGCACCGGCUAACUCCGUGCCAGCAGCCGCGGUAAUUC
This 406-nucleotide ribosomal RNA is filed under the name uncultured bacterium. RNAcentral's name for it is "partial 16S ribosomal RNA". It matches the Rfam family "Bacterial small subunit ribosomal RNA", at positions 29 to 526 of the family's 1533-position model. The record is from RNAcentral.